This 2902-nucleotide ribosomal RNA is filed under the name Escherichia coli. Its description in RNAcentral is "23S ribosomal RNA". It matches the Rfam family "Bacterial large subunit ribosomal RNA". RNAcentral also lists the same sequence under 1 other name. The record is from RNAcentral. Lineage: Bacteria; Pseudomonadati; Pseudomonadota; Gammaproteobacteria; Enterobacterales; Enterobacteriaceae.
UUAAGCGACUAAGCGUACACGGUGGAUGCCCUGGCAGUCAGAGGCGAUGAAGGACGUGCUAAUCUGCGAUAAGCGUCGGUAAGGUGAUAUGAACCGUUAUAACCGGCGAUUUCCGAAUGGGGAAACCCAGUGUGUUUCGACACACUAUCAUUAACUGAAUCCAUAGGUUAAUGAGGCGAACCGGGGGAACUGAAACAUCUAAGUACCCCGAGGAAAAGAAAUCAACCGAGAUUCCCCCAGUAGCGGCGAGCGAACGGGGAGCAGCCCAGAGUCUGAAUCAGUGUGUGUGUUAGUGGAAGCGUCUGGAAAGGCGCGCGAUACAGGGUGACAGCCCCGUACACAAAAAUGCACAUAUUGUGAGCUCGAUGAGUAGGGCGGGACACGUGGUAUCCUGUCUGAAUAUGGGGGGACCAUCCUCCAAGGCUAAAUACUCCUGACUGACCGAUAGUGAACCAGUACCGUGAGGGAAAGGCGAAAAGAACCCCGGCGAGGGGAGUGAAAAAGAACCUGAAACCGUGUACGUACAAGCAGUGGGAGCCUCUUUUAUGGGGUGACUGCGUACCUUUUGUAUAAUGGGUCAGCGACUUAUAUUCUGUAGCAAGGUUAACCGAAUAGGGGAGCCGAAGGGAAACCGAGUCUUAACUGGGCGUUAAGUUGCAGGGUAUAGACCCGAAACCCGGUGAUCUAGCCAUGGGCAGGUUGAAGGUUGGGUAACACUAACUGGAGGACCGAACCGACUAAUGUUGAAAAAUUAGCGGAUGACUUGUGGCUGGGGGUGAAAGGCCAAUCAAACCGGGAGAUAGCUGGUUCUCCCCGAAAGCUAUUUAGGUAGCGCCUCGUGAAUUCAUCUCCGGGGGUAGAGCACUGUUUCGGCAAGGGGGUCAUCCCGACUUACCAACCCGAUGCAAACUGCGAAUACCGGAGAAUGUUAUCACGGGAGACACACGGCGGGUGCUAACGUCCGUCGUGAAGAGGGAAACAACCCAGACCGCCAGCUAAGGUCCCAAAGUCAUGGUUAAGUGGGAAACGAUGUGGGAAGGCCCAGACAGCCAGGAUGUUGGCUUAGAAGCAGCCAUCAUUUAAAGAAAGCGUAAUAGCUCACUGGUCGAGUCGGCCUGCGCGGAAGAUGUAACGGGGCUAAACCAUGCACCGAAGCUGCGGCAGCGACGCUUAUGCGUUGUUGGGUAGGGGAGCGUUCUGUAAGCCUGUGAAGGUGUGCUGUGAGGCAUGCUGGAGGUAUCAGAAGUGCGAAUGCUGACAUAAGUAACGAUAAAGCGGGUGAAAAGCCCGCUCGCCGGAAGACCAAGGGUUCCUGUCCAACGUUAAUCGGGGCAGGGUGAGUCGACCCCUAAGGCGAGGCCGAAAGGCGUAGUCGAUGGGAAACAGGUUAAUAUUCCUGUACUUGGUGUUACUGCGAAGGGGGGACGGAGAAGGCUAUGUUGGCCGGGCGACGGUUGUCCCGGUUUAAGCGUGUAGGCUGGUUUUCCAGGCAAAUCCGGAAAAUCAAGGCUGAGGCGUGAUGACGAGGCACUACGGUGCUGAAGCAACAAAUGCCCUGCUUCCAGGAAAAGCCUCUAAGCAUCAGGUAACAUCAAAUCGUACCCCAAACCGACACAGGUGGUCAGGUAGAGAAUACCAAGGCGCUUGAGAGAACUCGGGUGAAGGAACUAGGCAAAAUGGUGCCGUAACUUCGGGAGAAGGCACGCUGAUAUGUAGGUGAAGUCCCUCGCGGAUGGAGCUGAAAUCAGUCGAAGAUACCAGCUGGCUGCAACUGUUUAUUAAAAACACAGCACUGUGCAAACACGAAAGUGGACGUAUACGGUGUGACGCCUGCCCGGUGCCGGAAGGUUAAUUGAUGGGGUCAGCGCAAGCGAAGCUCUUGAUCGAAGCCCCGGUAAACGGCGGCCGUAACUAUAACGGUCCUAAGGUAGCGAAAUUCCUUGUCGGGUAAGUUCCGACCUGCACGAAUGGCGUAAUGAUGGCCAGGCUGUCUCCACCCGAGACUCAGUGAAAUUGAACUCGCUGUGAAGAUGCAGUGUACCCGCGGCAAGACGGAAAGACCCCGUGAACCUUUACUAUAGCUUGACACUGAACAUUGAGCCUUGAUGUGUAGGAUAGGUGGGAGGCUUUGAAGUGUGGACGCCAGUCUGCAUGGAGCCGACCUUGAAAUACCACCCUUUAAUGUUUGAUGUUCUAACGUUGACCCGUAAUCCGGGUUGCGGACAGUGUCUGGUGGGUAGUUUGACUGGGGCGGUCUCCUCCUAAAGAGUAACGGAGGAGCACGAAGGUUGGCUAAUCCUGGUCGGACAUCAGGAGGUUAGUGCAAUGGCAUAAGCCAGCUUGACUGCGAGCGUGACGGCGCGAGCAGGUGCGAAAGCAGGUCAUAGUGAUCCGGUGGUUCUGAAUGGAAGGGCCAUCGCUCAACGGAUAAAAGGUACUCCGGGGAUAACAGGCUGAUACCGCCCAAGAGUUCAUAUCGACGGCGGUGUUUGGCACCUCGAUGUCGGCUCAUCACAUCCUGGGGCUGAAGUAGGUCCCAAGGGUAUGGCUGUUCGCCAUUUAAAGUGGUACGCGAGCUGGGUUUAGAACGUCGUGAGACAGUUCGGUCCCUAUCUGCCGUGGGCGCUGGAGAACUGAGGGGGGCUGCUCCUAGUACGAGAGGACCGGAGUGGACGCAUCACUGGUGUUCGGGUUGUCAUGCCAAUGGCACUGCCCGGUAGCUAAAUGCGGAAGAGAUAAGUGCUGAAAGCAUCUAAGCACGAAACUUGCCCCGAGAUGAGUUCUCCCUGACCCUUUAAGGGUCCUGAAGGAACGUUGAAGACGACGACGUUGAUAGGCCGGGUGUGUAAGCGCAGCGAUGCGUUGAGCUAACCGGUACUAAUGAACCGUGAGGCUUAACCUU